RNAcentral lists this unclassified non-coding RNA (264 nucleotides) under Hevea brasiliensis (rubber tree). The record is from RNAcentral. Lineage: Eukaryota; Viridiplantae; Streptophyta; Magnoliopsida; Malpighiales; Euphorbiaceae.
GCACGAUAGUAAAUACACAACAAGAAAUAGAUUGCAAACUAGUCAGCUGACAAGGACAAGGCCUCGCCUCCACACCAACUGCCUCUAUUUUGCACCCACGGGCACAAUUACUUGCUUCAAAGUGAACAGGCAGAAGCUGCAGAUGUGAAGCAUCAACAUUAAUGAUUACAGACUCCAACCUAGGAGACAUAUGAGAUGAAAUACCAUGGAUCGUUGAGUGGGAUUGAAGCACAGGCCUGCCCAGCUACCUUCUCCAACACCACA